Molecule: ribosomal RNA, 497 nt
Filed under: uncultured bacterium
Lineage: Bacteria
Description: partial 16S ribosomal RNA
Rfam family: Bacterial small subunit ribosomal RNA
Source: RNAcentral
GACGAACGCUGGCGGCGUGCCUAAUACAUGCAAGUUGAGCGCUGAAGGUUGGUACUUGUACCAACUGGAUGAGUAGCGAACGGGUGAGUAACGCGUGGGGAAUCUGCCUUUGAGCGGGGGACAACAUUUGGAAACGAAUGCUAAUACCGCAUAAAAUCUUUAAACACAAGUUUUAAGUUUGAAAGAUGCUAUUGCAUCACUCAAAGAUGAUCCCGCGUUGUAUUAGCUAGGUGGUGAGGUUAAGGCCCACCAAGGCGAAGAUACCUAGCCGACCUGAGAGGGGGAUCGGCCACAUUGGGACCGAGACCCGGCCCAAACUCCUACGGGAGGCAGCAGGAGGGAAUCUUCGGCCAUGGACGAAAGGCUGACCGAGCAACGCCGGGGGAGGGAAGAAGGUUUUCGGAUCGUAAAACUCUGGUGGUAGGGAAGAACGUUGGUGAGAGUGGAAAGCUCAUCAAGUGACGGUAACUACCCAGAAAGGGACGGCUAACUACGUG